AAUGCUAGCAGCUACAGCUAUUUUCCCCUGGCCUAUUUUAAUAUUAUUUAUUUGGGCAAUAGAAACAUCUGAAGUAUGAGAAGGAGGCUUAUGGUCCCACAGUCAGCGGACAGAAGAUUUGCAGGAAUUAAUAUAUUGGUUUCUGAUAACAGAAGCAUGACCGCAACCAAUGUGCCUUCACAUUACCAUCACAAAAUCAUUGUUAGUGGAAUGGCACAAGUGAAACCCAAGACUUACACACCUUAAAUGCA
This is a long non-coding RNA of Schistocerca serialis cubense, 251 nucleotides long. RefSeq lists it as uncharacterized. The transcript has 3 exons. The record is from RefSeq and is a predicted model, not a curated record. Lineage: Eukaryota; Metazoa; Arthropoda; Insecta; Orthoptera; Acrididae.